AGCAGCCGCGGUAAUUCCAGCUCCAAUAGCGUAUAUUAAAGUUGUUGCAGUUAAAAAGCUCGUAGUUGAAUUUCGGGGUUAGUAGGUUGGUCGUGCCUAUGGUAUGUACUGGCUUUACUGAUUCCUCCUUCUUGAAGAACUGUAAUGUCAUUAAUUUGGUGUUGCAGGGAAACAGGACUGUUACUUUGAAAAAAUUAGAGUGUUUAAAGCAGGCUAACGCUUGAAUACAUUAGCAUGGAAUAAUGAAAUAGGACGUUUGAUCCUAUUUUGUUGGUUUCUAGGAUUGACGUAAUGAUUAAUAGGGAUAGUUGGGGGCAUUAGUAUUCAAUUGUCAGAGGUGAAAUUCUUGGAUUUAUUGAAGACUAACUACUGCGAAAGCAUUUGCCAAGGAUGUUUUCAUUAAUCAAGAACGAAAGUUAGGGGAUCGAAGACGAUCAGAUACCGUCGUAGUCUUAACCAUAAACUAUGCCGACUAGGGAUCGGAUGAUGUUAAUUUUUUAAUGACUCAUUCGGCGCCUUA
Molecule: ribosomal RNA, 520 nt
Filed under: uncultured Glomus
Lineage: Eukaryota; Fungi; Glomeromycota; Glomeromycetes; Glomerales; Glomeraceae
Description: SSU rRNA
Rfam family: Eukaryotic small subunit ribosomal RNA
Source: RNAcentral